This is a non-coding RNA of Cherax quadricarinatus, 949 nucleotides long. The record is from RefSeq and is a predicted model, not a curated record. Lineage: Eukaryota; Metazoa; Arthropoda; Malacostraca; Decapoda; Parastacidae.
UUCCAAGUGUUGACUUCCUUCUUUCCAACUAUAUAUUUGGCUGCUGUUUCUCUAAUUCUUUGUCAUUCAAUAUAUUUUACAUGUAAAAGUUUCAGUAACCUGGAGAGAUUCACAGUAAUCAGGUUUAUAAUUGUCAGGAGUGAACUUCGAGUUUUACCCUGACGGAACGAGGCUGGUGGUGGUGGAUCCCAACCCUCACUUCAAGGCUUACUAUGACAACAACAGGAAGAAGUUCCCCAACAUACACUCUGAGGAAUUUAUAAUCACAACAGGAGUGGUACUUGGUAAUGCACAACGAAUAUCACUUUCAACUGCAAGCCGAUUCCUCAGGACUUAAUGUGCAACAAACAUGAAAAUCCACUCUCACACAUGUCCAAGAACUCCUGCAUAGCCUCUGGAACACCAUGAACAUCUGUUACAAAUGGAUUCCUGAUGAAAGAAAGCUCAUCCCUUGUCAUGUCCACCUCCGGAAAGUAUCGCCGAAAUUCAUCCUGCAGCUUUUGUAAGUGCUCGAGAAUAUGCACUGAAUGGGUUCCUUUUCCCCUAGCAUGGCAUCCACACACGGAAAUUGAACUAAAUUUUUACCUUCGACUCUUCUGAUCCAGAGUUCUAAUUUCUCAAGAAAAGCCUUGGUGAUUCCUUGGUGAGAGAACAGAUUUGCUCCUUUCCCUUGCAGCUGAAGAUUCAGUUUGCUCAAAGAUACCAAAAAUAUCGACAAAGUAUGCUAGUUCUAAUUCUGACAGUUCUAGCAUAUUUAUUUGUAAAACAUUUUUUUCCCUUGAGACUGGAGAAAUACAAUAAUUUUUUCUCUCAGUUCAAAAAUUCUGUUGACUACAUUCCCUGCUAACCACCGUACAGAAGUGUAGAACAGCAACACCUCAAAGUCGGAACCCAUGUCCUGGCAUAAUUUUCUGAACAGUCUGAUGUUCACUGCUGACGAUUUGAUGUA